This 497-nucleotide ribosomal RNA is filed under the name uncultured bacterium. RNAcentral's name for it is "partial 16S ribosomal RNA". It matches the Rfam family "Bacterial small subunit ribosomal RNA", at positions 28 to 507 of the family's 1533-position model. The record is from RNAcentral.
GAUGAACGCUGGCGGCGUGCCUAAUACAUGCAAGUCGAGCGAACGGACGAGAAGCUUGCUUCUCUGAUGUUAGCGGCGGACGGGAGAGUAACACGUGGAUACCCUACCUAUCAGACUGGGAUCACUUCGGGACACCGGCGCUAAUACCGGAUGAUCUUUUGAACCGCAUGGUUCAAAAGUGAAAGACGGUCUUGCUGUCACUUAUCGAUGGAUCCGCGCUGCAUUAGCUAGUUGGUAAGGUAACGGCUUAUCACGGCAACGAUGCAUAGCCGACGUGAGAGAGUGAUCGGCCACACUGGAAGUGGGACACGGUCCAGAGUCCUACGGGAGGCAGCAGUAGGGAAUGUGCCGCAAUGGGCGAAAGCCUGACGGAGCAAGGCCGCGUGAGUUAUGAAGAUCUUCGGAGCGGAAAACUCUGUUAUGAGGUAAGAACAGAUGUGGAAGGAACUGAGCACAGCGUGACGGUACCGAAUCAGAAAGCCACGGCUAACUACGUG